AAUUAUUAUUAUACAAGCUUUACUUACUGAUCUUCACCUUCCAGUCUUAUGUUUUGUUAAGACUUUAUUAUGAGUUCAAAAUGUAAUUAUAUUUAGUAUACUGUUGAGUGUUUUUUGAAUGUGAUAAUUGAGUUUCUUAUCUAAAAUAUUUAAAAGUGAAUCUCAAUAUAGAACUAUCUUUUUGCAAAUAUUUCUGUAAUAGCCGGUCUUGAGCUGUUCUUGAAGAAUGAAGUGCAAGAAUAUUCCGGCUGAGUUCCAUCGUGAAAGAGUUGGCGUUGCAUCUAGUGCAGAUGCUCGAUUCACCCAUAACAAGAUCGAAGAAUCGAACGCUGUCACGUCAUCAACAACAACUCACUUUUCAUGGACUCGUUGAAUGUUGUGAAAACAGGUCUCCUUUCCAAAGACGGGCUCCACCUACAAAGAGCAGGGAUCAUCGCUUUAAUAGGUAAUGUUAUUUCUAGCGUUUGCAGUAGAUUAAGGGAGUGUCCACCUCACCUUCCAUCUCUCUUUAAUUAUGAAUUGGCUUUUCCUCCUUUGUGUCCGAAACAAAUGUCCAGUCUCACGCCCUCCGCUCCACUCCCUCUUGCUACAUCAACAAUUGAUGAUGAUGCUACAUCAUACCGUGAUGCGCUCAUUCUACAUGAAGCAGUUGAGGAACCAAAACCUCAACCGAAAUCCUCUCAUCCUCGAAUCCAACCCAAAGUGACCAAACCCAGACCGCCGGUCACUAUUGAACCUGUAUUUUCAUCUCCUUCUCCUGCCAAAUUAAUCGAUCCUGAUGGUUACCAACUGGUUACUUGCAGAGGAAGACAUCACCGAAUUUCCAUGUCUCGUCAUCGUUCCAGCCAGAUCAAUUCCAUGUAUGAAGGUAUAUAUUCAACUCUGCGAAGCUCUUCUCCUUCCUUAUCGCAUGAGAGCAGUAAUGAAUCUGCAAGAGAUCAAAUUCCUGAUAAAUCACUUGUUCAUGAUUCAUCAGAUGCCAGCUGCGCUCAGCCCCUCAAUCAUUCUCGCUCCUCCAAGCAGAGAAGACGUAGAAGAAGGGGAGCUGGGUCCAAGUGGAAUUUGACUGACAAUAAGAAAGUGAUGAAGAAGGAAUCUGACAAGAAGCAGAGAAAAUUGAAUGCUGUUUAUGAGAAAAGAAGGGGAAUAACUUUGAAGAAUGAUAAUACUGAAUACGACUGGAA
RNAcentral lists this unclassified non-coding RNA (1184 nucleotides) under Nilaparvata lugens (brown planthopper). Its description in RNAcentral is "uncharacterized LOC111054010, transcript variant X1". The record is from RNAcentral. Lineage: Eukaryota; Metazoa; Arthropoda; Insecta; Hemiptera; Delphacidae.